CUGCGGUGAUGACUUCUUAGGACACCUUUGGAUUCAGCAUGAAAACACUCUGUUAAGUCUGAGCAGC
Small nucleolar RNA from Micropterus dolomieu (smallmouth bass), 67 nucleotides. RefSeq annotates it as small nucleolar RNA SNORD58. The record is from RefSeq and is a predicted model, not a curated record. The transcript has a single exon. NCBI's taxonomy places the organism in Eukaryota, Metazoa, Chordata, Actinopteri, Centrarchiformes, Centrarchidae.